This 468-nucleotide ribosomal RNA is filed under the name uncultured bacterium. RNAcentral describes it as "partial 16S ribosomal RNA". It matches the Rfam family "Bacterial small subunit ribosomal RNA", at positions 28 to 507 of the family's 1533-position model. The record is from RNAcentral.
GACGAACGCUGGCGGCGUGCUUAACACAUGCAAGUCGAACGGAAAGGCCCUGCUUUUGUGGGGUGCUCGAGUGGCGAACGGGUGAGUAACACGUGAGUAACCUGCCCUUGACUUUGGGAUAACUUCAGGAAACUGGGGCUAAUACCGGAUAGGAGCUCCUGCUGCAUGGUGGGGGUUGGACAGUUUCGGCGGUUGGGGAUGGACUCGCGGCUUAUCAGCUUGUUGGUGGGGUAGUGGCUUAACAAGGCUUUGACGGGUAGCCGGCCUGAGAGGGUGACCGGCCACAUUGGGACUGAGAUACGGCCCAGACUCCUACGGGAGGCAGCAGUGGGGAAUAUUGCACAAUGGGCGGAAGCCUGAUGCAGCAACGCCGCGUGCGGGAUGACGGCCUUCGGGUUGUAAACCGCUUUCGCCUGUGACGAAGCGUGAGUGACGGUAAUGGGUAAAGAAGCACCGGCUAACUACGUG